This 321-nucleotide long non-coding RNA is filed under the name Setaria viridis. Its description in RNAcentral is "long non-coding RNA (SVIR_LNC005525)". The record is from RNAcentral. Lineage: Eukaryota; Viridiplantae; Streptophyta; Magnoliopsida; Poales; Poaceae.
GGGAGUUGGGUGUUUGCUUUCCUUUCUGAGUUGGGUUUUGGUGCUUCUCCUAUAUUAUAUCUGUAUAGCCUUUUCCUUUUAGCAUCUUUGUAGUAUGCUAGUUUGUCUUUCAUUGCAUCUAUAUCAUAUUGCAUUUGUAUCAUACUGCACUAGAUGAGCUUCUCUUAUAUGCCCUGACUACUGUUUUAGGCUACUUGUGAGCUAGUGCCUUGGUUGUUUACUUAGAUGCAAUGUGCAAUGCUCUUGAUGAUCUUGUAUACAUGAUGAAAACUGCUUUCUGAAAUUCAAUGCUAAAUUCUACUUUAUUAACUUGUAUAUCAC